AUGAAGAUAAGGAAAAAGGAGACGUUUAGGUGUUGUUCAAGAAAAAGUUCUCUCACGUCACUUUUAGCACAAGAGAAGAUAGAGUCCAAGUCUCUCACGUUCUGGACUCAGAUUCAGACUGCACAAACAUACCUGACUCAAAACGUCAAUAUCUCUUCUAUCCGGACUCCGACUUGGGUGAUUCUGUUUUUGUUGAAAAGUAGAUUUUGUGCACUUUCCAACCCAAUUGGAUUCACCUUCAAAUUCGUUCGGAGCAUUGAGAUAUUGAUGAAACAAUAUGACGCUGCAAUAGAAUCCGAGUCAAACUACAAGUCCAAAGGUGUUGCAUCACCUCUAUUUGGGCCCAUGAGCCCUACACUACCUAGGUUUAGUUUUAGGCCGCCUUGGGACGUCCUCCCACCUCCUUGGCCGCCACCCCUUGCUCCUAUAUAA
This 432-nucleotide ribosomal RNA is filed under the name Triticum aestivum (bread wheat). RNAcentral's name for it is "partial small subunit ribosomal RNA". Lineage: Eukaryota; Viridiplantae; Streptophyta; Magnoliopsida; Poales; Poaceae. The record is from RNAcentral.